This 1335-nucleotide ribosomal RNA is filed under the name uncultured prokaryote. RNAcentral's name for it is "partial 16S ribosomal RNA". It matches the Rfam family "Bacterial small subunit ribosomal RNA", at positions 187 to 1501 of the family's 1533-position model. The record is from RNAcentral.
UCAUGAUAAAAAAAUCAAAGCUGCCCUAGGGUAGUACCUGUGGAUGGACCUGCGUCCCAUUAGUUUGUUGGUAGGGUAACGGCCUACCAAGACAGCGAUGGGUAGCCGGCCUGAGAGGGUGAACGGCCACACUGGGACUGAGAUACGGCCCAGACUCCUACGGGAGGCAGCAGUGAGGAAUAUUGGGCAAUGGCCGAAAGGCUGACCCAGCAACGCCGCGUGAGGGAUGAAGCUCUAAGGAGUGUAAAGUCCUGUUAGGAGGGAAGAAUUAUACUUAUUGUGGUUUUGCUACAGAUCGACGGUACCUCCAAAGAAAGCUCCGGCUAACUCUGUGCCAGCAGCCGCGGUAAUACAGGGGGAGCAAGCGUUGUCCGGAAUCACUGGGCGUAAAGAGCGUGUAGGUGGGAAGGUAAGUCAGAGGUGAAAUGUUGGGGCUCAACCCCAAACCUGCCUUUGAAACUGCCUUUCUUGAAUAUGGUAGAGGGAAGCGGAAUUCCAGGUGUAGCGGUGGAAUGCGUAGAUAUCUGGAAGAACACCGGUGGCGAAGGCGGCUUCCUGGCCCAUUAUUGACGCUGAGACGCGAAAGCGUGGGUAGCAAACAGGAUUAGAUACCCUGGUAGUCCACGCCCUAAACGAUGAUCACUAGGUGUUGGGAGAUUCGACCCCCUUCAGUGCCGUAGCUAACGCAUUAAGUGAUCCGCCUGGGGAGUACGAUCGCAAGAUUGAAACUCAAAGGAAUUGACGGGGGCCCGCACUAGCGGUGGAGCAUGUGGUUUAAUUCGAUGCAACGCGAAGAACCUUACCUGGGCUUGAACUGUGCAGGAAACUUUCCGAAAGGUGGUCCUCCUUCGGGACGGCUGUAGAGGUCCUGCAUGGCUGUCGUCAGCUCGUGUCGUGAGAUGUUGGGUUAAGUCCCGCAACGAGCGCAACCCCUGCCCUUAGUUGCCAGCAGGUAAUGCUGGGCACUCUAAGGGGACUGCCGGUGAUAAACUGGAGGAAGGUGGGGAUGACGUCAAGUCCUCAUGGCCCUUACGUCCCGGGCUACACACGUGCUACAAUGGCCGGUACAGCGGGUUGCGAUACCGCAAGGUGGAGCCAAUCCCUAAAAACCGACCUCAGUUCGGAUUGCAGUCUGCAACUCGACUGCAUGAAGUCGGAAUCGCUAGUAAUCGCGGAUCAGCACGCCGCGGUGAAUACGUUCCCGGGACUUGUACACACCGCCCGUCACGCCAUGGAAGUCGGUAGCACCCGAAGCCAGUGGCCUAAUCCAUUUCGGUGGAAGGGAGCUGUCGAAGGUGAGAUCGAUGACUGGGGCGAAGUCGUAACAAGGUAACC